ACCCGCUGAACUUAAGCAUAUGGGAAU
Molecule: ribosomal RNA, 27 nt
Filed under: Dictyochloropsis asterochloroides
Lineage: Eukaryota; Viridiplantae; Chlorophyta; Trebouxiophyceae; Trebouxiales; Trebouxiaceae
Also listed under: 1 other name
Description: partial 26S ribosomal RNA
Source: RNAcentral